This 73-nucleotide transfer RNA is filed under the name compost metagenome. RNAcentral's name for it is "tRNA-His". It matches the Rfam family "tRNA". Rfam says of the family: Transfer RNA (tRNA) molecules are approximately 80 nucleotides in length. The record is from RNAcentral.
GGUGUGCGUGGCCGAGUGGUAAGGCAGACGACUGUGAAUCGUCGCACGAGGGUUCGAUUCCCCCGUUCACCCC